This 300-nucleotide unclassified non-coding RNA is filed under the name uncultured Metarhizium. Its description in RNAcentral is "sequence contains 5.8S rRNA gene, ITS2". The stretch from base 1 to 71 matches the Rfam family "5.8S ribosomal RNA", at positions 84 to 154 of the family's 154-position model. Lineage: Eukaryota; Fungi; Ascomycota; Sordariomycetes; Hypocreales; Clavicipitaceae. The record is from RNAcentral.
GUGAGUCAUCGAAUCUUUGAACGCACAUUGCGCCCGCCAGUAUUCUGGCGGGCAUGCCUGUUCGAGCGUCAUUUCAACCCUCAGGUCCCCCUUUUCGGAGGGGGAGACACCCUGGUGUUGGGGGACGGCAUCCUGGCCCGCUGUCUCACAGUGUGCCACGCCGCCCCCGAAAUGAAUUGGCGGCCUCGUCGCGUGCCACCCCUGCGUAGUAGCACAACCUCGCAACGGGAGCCCGACGCGGCCACUGCCGUAAAACGCCCAACUUUUACCGAGUUGACCUCGAAUCAGGUAGGAAUACCC